GAUGGACGCUGGCGGCGUGCUUAACACAUGCAAGUCGAACGGUGAAGGCGGAGCUUGCUCUGCUGGAUCAGUGGCGAACGGGUGAGUAACACGUGAGCAAUCUGCCCCUGACUCUGGGAUACGCGCUGGAAACGGCGUCUAAUACUGGAUACGAGCUGCGAAGGCAUCUUCAGCAGCUGGAAAGAACUUCGGUCAGGGAUGAGCUCGCGGCCUAUCAGCUUGUUGGUGAGGUAACGGCUCACCAAGGCGUCGACGGGUAGCCGGUCUGAGAGGGUGACCGGCCACACUGGGACUGAGACACGGCCCAGACUCCUACGGGAGGCAGCAGUGGGGAAUAUUGCACAAUGGGCGAAAGCCUGAUGCAGCAACGCCGCGUGAGGGACGACGGCCUUCGGGUUGUAAACCUCUUUUAGCAGGGAAGAAGCGAAAGUGACGGUACCUGCAGAAAAAGCGCCGGCUAACUACGUG
This 468-nucleotide ribosomal RNA is filed under the name uncultured bacterium. RNAcentral describes it as "partial 16S ribosomal RNA". It matches the Rfam family "Bacterial small subunit ribosomal RNA", at positions 28 to 507 of the family's 1533-position model. The record is from RNAcentral.